AGCGCAGACGGUUUAUUAAGUCUGAUGUGAAAGCCCGGAGCUCAACUCCGGAAUGGCAUUGGAAACUGGUUAACUUGAGUGCAGUAGAGGUAAGUGGAACUCCAUGUGUAGCGGUGGAAUGCGUAGAUAUAUGGAAGAACACCAGUGGCGAAGGCGGCUUACUGGACUGCAACUGACGUUGAGGCUCGAAAGUGUGGGUAGGCAAACA
RNAcentral lists this ribosomal RNA (208 nucleotides) under uncultured bacterium. RNAcentral's name for it is "partial 16S ribosomal RNA". It matches the Rfam family "Bacterial small subunit ribosomal RNA", at positions 568 to 774 of the family's 1533-position model. The record is from RNAcentral.